CGACAUCUAUUGGUUUCUCGUGACUUUUUAUUUUCGCGUUGUUUUCGUGCGAAUGUGUCAUAUCUGUUUACUGAACACUUUGAGUCUGUUUUUUGCGUCAUGCGUUGUGACGUUUUGCAAGUGCGCUCUUAUUUAGCUUUCUUGCUAAGCCUUCUUCUGGACAACUUGAGUUGUUUGGGCAAAAACAUUCGGCAUCAUCGAGACCAUUCUAUAAUUCCACGACCUCGUGAUCCACGUUGAUACACUGGAUUCAUUUUUAAUAUCCUCACCAAACACUAACGUCGAGAUUGAAAAAUUGUUGCGAACUGAUGUGAUGUGUAAAUAACAUCAUGGUAAAACAUGCCAUGUCGUGUUUCUGCCUUCAAUUCAUGAAUUCUCUGACCCCGAAUAUUUAUCCAUCCUCUUAAAAAAACUGUCAAAUAUUUUCCUAUCAUGCUUAUCUUUAAUUCAAAUAAUGUCGGACCAUUUUGAUGACCAAAUAUCAAACAAUUUUGAGCAUGUCAAUUGUAUUUUAAAAGAACUUUUUUUGACUUCAGCAGAUUCAGGUGUAGAUUCAAAUGGAUUUUUAUUUGUUUUAUUUACUCUCACCUCAUUUGGUUGUUCUUGUGACUUUUGUCUUGUCCCAUCAGAUGAACCACUCACAUGAUUUAUUUGGUACACCUCUCAAUAUAAGAACUUAACAUAGGUGAAUAUUAAAAUUAUCAAAUAUUACAGUUGAUAAAAACUAGGGACGGGCAAGUAUCGAUAUUGGGCCUUGUUUCAAGGUAUCUGUACUUGCAACGCAUCUUGUGGCCGUAUCACAAUCGGGAACUAGAGGCCAUACAUGUCUGACAGGUGCCCAUUAAGAUACAAUUUUGAAAUAGAAAAAGAUACAAAAAAAUCAAUUGUAUGCAAUUUUAAGGAAAAAAUGCUAUAUUCGGUUAUUUGUUUUUCUUUCAAAUCAUCUGUCAUCGGAGGAAAUUGUAUCAAAGUUACUGGUGGUAUUGGUACUUGGUAUCAGUGACUACUCAAGAGUUGAGCAAUUGUAAUGGUAUCGGUAUAAAAAAAGUGGUAUCUAAUACCUAAAAAUAACAACAAUAAUUGUAUUGUUCGAUUAUUAUGCGAAAGAAGAAUAGAUAGAUGAUGUUGUAUUAAUUCACAUGACUGCAUUGCAUCAUUCUGCGAGUUUUUCUAACACUGUAUUGAGGUACCAAUAAAACAACACCUGCAAGCAGUGUUGAAUGGGAGCACAAAGUUUGCUGUUUAUUUAUAAAAGUGAUUAACUUGGAGAAUAAUCUGAAACGUGACACAAAAUGUUUUUUUUUUUAAAGGAGCUGUUUAUCACUUUUUAAUGAGGCAUCUCCCUUUAUUUCAUGUUUAAUCGCGUGCUACUUUUUGGCCUCUGAAGGCGUUGCUACCAGACGAGAUGUUUGACACCGAUAGCCGCUCGUAGACCAUUUGAUUGACAGGCGGGCCGCUCGGCCGCCGACCUCUCUCCGCAGACGGUCAUGAACCCAAAGAGCCAGAUAUUUCUGCGGAUCACGCUCCGCUUGAGUGACAGUGUGUGCCAAGGCAUGGCGUGUGCCCCCGUUUUGUUUUGUCCAAUCUUCGUCGAGCGCGACGAUCGGCACGCUCCCCUGAUGGGAGAUACGCGUCGACUCUGCCUCGUUCUUUUGUUUUUUUUGUCUGCCUGAAAUCUUAAGUGUUUGGAUUCUUGUCUGCUCCGUUGGCACGCAAAGGUUGUCACCACCUCCACACAGCAGCUUUAUUAAAACACUUCACUUCUCCCCUCCUCCUGUGUUGAAAGCGAUGACAUUUCUGUGGUACCUCAGCCAUCUUUUAUUUCUUUUUGUCCUCUUACUUUCUGUCAGUUUUAGUCCAGAGUAUGACAGGAAAGCCAUUUGCACUUCAUGUUUAUUCACACACGAUGGUCACACUUCUCAUUUCCAAUCCAGGAAGUUGAAUCAGCUGUUUACGUGUCUUGAUGAAAACCGAAAUUUAGAAAUCUUUCACGUUUUGUGUGUUCUGCAGUUGUGGAUUGUUGGCACAGAUUUUU
Molecule: long non-coding RNA, 2035 nt
Organism: Hippocampus comes (tiger tail seahorse)
Lineage: Eukaryota; Metazoa; Chordata; Actinopteri; Syngnathiformes; Syngnathidae
Exons: 2
Source: RefSeq, a predicted model, not a curated record